Caenorhabditis elegans is the source of this 21-nucleotide non-coding RNA. NCBI's taxonomy places the organism in Eukaryota, Metazoa, Nematoda, Chromadorea, Rhabditida, Rhabditidae. The record is from Ensembl.
UUUUCUCAUUCCUUUCCCAAA